Long non-coding RNA from Mesocricetus auratus (golden hamster), 6844 nucleotides. RefSeq lists it as uncharacterized. The record is from RefSeq and is a predicted model, not a curated record. The transcript has 3 exons. Lineage: Eukaryota; Metazoa; Chordata; Mammalia; Rodentia; Cricetidae.
CUAUCUUGCUUCACUAUUGGCCAACAGUGCUUUAUUGUCAUAUGCACAGGACUUCCCCAACAGGUCUUGUGCACACAGUCACGGCUGCUGUGGGUUCAUGUGUGCAGUGGUCCUGUUGCAGCCAGCAAAUCAUGCUUUACUGCAGAUGUCCACUAUCUCAGGCUCUCACAAUCUUUCUCUCCUCCUUUCCUUUAUGAUCCCUGAGUCUUGAGGGGAUAGAGGUGUUGUAAAACUGUCCUAUGUCCCCAUAACAGGGCACUCCACAGUCUCUUAAUUAAUUGUGGGUCUCUGUAUUUAUUGUCAAUGCUGUAAAAAGAAGUGUCUCUGGUAAGGGAUGGAGGCACACUAUCUGUGAGUAUAAAUAUAGGAACUUGGGGGGGGCAGUUUAUCACUGUAUCCAUAGAGUAUAAUAAUGAUAUUAGGUUCUUCCCUAAAACUUAGGACCUAGCAAGUCAUGAAUUUUGGCCCAGUUAAUGUACCAAAUCUUAUGGAGGGGAGCUUUAAAUUCAAUAGAAAAAUCUUGAACCAGCUUUGCACUCCUGCAGUAUCUCUUACUUGAUCAGUGCAUUGAGCAAUAAAUGUAUAUGUAUAUAUAUGUAUAUGUAUAUGUAUAUGUAUGUAUAAUCAGAAGAGGGUGUUGAAUCCCCUGGAGCUAGAAUUGCAGUAGUUAUGAGUCACCCAGACCCUGGAAACCAAACUCAGGUCCUCUGUAUAGGCUAUAUUUACUCUAAACCUUCCCCCAGUAUUUUUUUUAACUUUUUCUUGUAUCAGGGUAAUGUUAGCUUCAUAUAUUGAAUUGUUUUCUCCUAUUUGUUUUCUGUUUAAGACUGUAUAGAAUUGUCAUUGAUCCAUAGUUCAAUUUUUAGUAGAAUUUUUGAGUAUGAAAUUACGAAUUUAGCUUCCUUAAUAUGUAUGGACUGUUCAAACAAUCUAGUUCAUACUGGGUGAAUUGUAGCGAGCCUCUGGCUUUAUUUUCUGUUCAGAUGGUUUGUGGAGUUCAAGCCGACAGAUUUAUGUAGAGUUAUUCAUGGUGUGCCUUCAGGAUCCCUCUGAGGUCUUUAGGAUCUGUAAUUUCAUGAAUGGUAUUGAUUUUUGCCUUCCCUUUCUUCCCCUUUGUGGGUAUGGCUAAAUUUGUCAGUGUUGUUUGUCUCACCCAUUUGUGUCACUGAUUUUCUUUAUUGUUUAGUAUUUUCAACAACAAGAACUUCUAGUCUCAUCUUUAUUGUUUUUUUUCCUUGCUUUAAUUUCUCUCUUCUUUUUAGGUUCUUUAGGUAGGAAUUAAUUUUUUUGUUUGACACAUUUCUUAGCACUACUGUGUACCCAAGUCCUACAAAUUUUUAUGUGUUGUAUUUUCAUUUUCUUUGAUUAUUUUUUAAGUUUCUCUUAAGAUUUUCUCUGUGACUUGUGUGUUUAAAUUUUGUAAAUCUGUGUGUGUAUAGAGGGGGGAGAGAUGAAUUACUGGUUUUUUGGCUUGACUUUGCUGUGGUUGGAUCAUACACUUUCUAUGAUUUUUACUCUUUGGAAUUUGUUGAAUUUAUCUUAUGGUUCAAGAUACAAUCUGUUUUGAUUUGUGUUUCAUUAGCACUUUAAACUAUCCUCUCUGCUGCUUGUGGGUGUUCUUUUGUAGAUUGUUCUAUGAAUUAUUGGGAGAGGGACUGAAGUCUUCAACUGUAACUGGGCUGGUCUACUUCUUUCUGUUCUAUAGUUUUACUUAUUUAUUUUUAUUGUGUGUGUAUGUGUGGGGGAGGGGAUACUCGUGUCGUAGCAUAUGUGUUGAGUCAGAGGAGAACUUGGGGAAGUUGGUUCUAUUUCUUCCAUUGUUCUGGGGGCCCUGGGGUUGAACUUAGAUGGCCAGGCUUGUGCAGCAAGUUCCUUUACCUACUGAGCUAAAUUGCCAGCUCCAUCAGUUGUGUGUGGCAACUCUGUUGUAUGGUAUAAGCACAUUCGGAGAAGCUGAAUGGUUGCGGCCUGCUGUUUGGUAUUUUAAAUCCAAGAUGGAAAUUCCUUUCUAUUGGUAUCUUUAGACUAUUUACAUUUAGUGUAAUUAUGGCUGUGUUAGGAUGUAUGUGUUGGGAUGUAUGCAUGCUAUUUUCCUUUCUGCAUUGUUUGUUGUAUUUGUAUUUCUCACAGUGUGCUUGAACAUUUUUUAUAAUUCCAUUUUUGCUUCUUUUCAAUCAACCAAGUAAAUGUAAAUUCAGGGUAAGAAUAUGAAUUACAUGUUAGCAUUUGCAUUUUCUCACAGGUGAAUUUUCCUCUGUGGUCUGCUCAGCACCUUAAAGUGCUUUGGGUAUAGAGCAGGAAAUGUGGUGGCUCAUUUGGUGACAAGAAGUUUUCAGAGAAGUGGAGAGAGUCUUUAAGUAGUCUUCCCCUGGGGAGGUCUCUGCUCCCUACACGCUCAGAUCUGCACAGCCUGCUGUCCUCGGGGCACUGAUGGUUUGCACACUUCAUUGUUGGUCAGGGUCCACUUUGCUUUGUGUUUUAGGAUUUAGAUUUUCUUGCAGCUUUGUUUUGAACAGGAAUUGGUUUUGAUGACUUUGUCCCCCAAAUUCCUAGAAGUAGGAGAUUCAGAUCCAUUGCUUUGCUUCUCCCUCAGGAUAGAGCUGAGAAUUUUGUUUGGUGUUGUUUAUUUUUAUAAAAUACCGAGGAAACAUGAGAUUUGAGUGAGGCUGGAAAAAAAAAGAGAACACAGAAGACCUGAUCUGAGACACCCACUGAUCUGGAUUUUACUGUAGGCAGUGGGGGCUCAGCUGCGCCAAGGACCCUCAGCAGCCAUGGAGACGGAUUUGGACUUGUCCCGCUGUGGGACCUGGAGGAGCAGGUUGAUCAGAAUUGCUCCUGGUGUGUGAACCCCCUUGCACUAGCACUCCAGGUGUGUGAACCCUUGCACUAGCACUCCAGAUGUGUGAACCCCUUCACUAGCACUCCAGGUGUGUGAACCCUUGCACUAGCACUCCAGAUGUGUGAACCCCUUCACUAGCACUCCAGGUGUGUGAACCCCUUCACUAGCACUCCAGGUGUGUGAACCCUUCACUAGCACUCCAGAUGUGUGAACCCCUUCACUAGCACCCCAGGUAUGUGAACCCCUUCACUAGCACUCCAGGUAUGUGAACCCCUUCACUAGCACCCCAGGUGUGUGAACCCCUUCACUAGCACCCCAGGUGUGUGAACCCCUUCACUAGCACUCCAGGUGUGUGAACCCCUUCACUAGCACCCCAGGUGUGUGAAUCCCUUCACUAGCACUCCAGGUAUGUGAACCCCUUCACUAGCACCCCAGGUGUGUGAACCCCUUCACUAGCACCCCAGGUGUGUGAACCCCUUCACUAGCACUCAGGUGUGUGAACCCCUUCACUAGCACUCCAGGUGUGUGAACCCUUCACUAGCAUUCCAGAUGUGUGAACACCUUGCACUAGUACUCCAGGUGUGUGAACCCCUUCACUAGCACUCCAGGUGUGUGAACCCUUCACUAGCACUCCAGGUAUGUGAACCCCUUCACUAGCACCCCAGGUGUGUGAACCCCUUCACUAGCACGCCAGGUGUGUGAACCCCUUCACUAGCACUCCAGGUGUGUGAACACCUUGCACUAGUACUCCAGGUGUGUGAACCCCUUCACUAGCACUCAGGUGUGUGAACCCCUUCACUAGCACUCCAGGUGUGUGAACCCUUCACUAGCAUUCCAGAUGUGUGAACACCUUGCACUAGUACUCCAGGUGUGUGAACCCCUUCACUAGCACUCAGGUAUGUGAACCCCUUCACUAGCACUCCAGGUGUGUGAACCCCUUCACUAGCACUCCAGGUGUGUGAACCCCUUCACUAGCACUCCAGGUGUGUGAACCCUUCACUAGCAUUCCAGAUGUGUGAACACCUUGCACUAGUACUCCAGGUGUGUGAACCCCUUCACUAGCACUCAGGUGUGUGAACCCCUUGCACUAGCACUCCAGAUGUGUCAGAAUGGAUGAGCGUCUCAUAACUAGGAAGCCCUGGGUGGAGAAUGAGUGAUCCUGACAGUCAGGACACACUUACACUCAGCAACUGAAGCAAGAGUGGCUCAAGAGACUGACAGUGGUUCUCCGUUGCUGUGGCUUGAAGCUUCCUGUGUUAAGACUGAAUCCCCAAAGUUACGCAUUAAUACUGUCUGCGGGUAGCAGGAGGGUAUGCCCCCGUGGAAGCAUUACUGGCUUCCUGAAAAGAGGAAGAGAGAGCUAACCAGCACAUUUGCUGUCUCACCAUGCACCAACUCUGCCUGCCUACCCCAGAAGCUGAGUAGGACUUGGACUUCCUAGCCUCCAGAAUCACAAGCCAAAUGAGCUUUUCUUCUCUAUAAAUGACCUCGUUACAGGUAUUUUGUUAUAGCUGCAGAACAUGGACUAAGACCAUCCCACGUACUUUAGGAUGCUCCAUUAAGACCAGCAAGGACCAGGGGCCUCUCCCUACCUGCCCUGGGUGAUGAGCUCAUCUCUCCUCUCUGCAUUGCUCUUCGGCCAGCCUACUUCUCUGCUUCCUCAUGGAAUCUGUUCUCUCAUCUCUUGCUUAGGGGUCACAUGCCACCGCCUCCCCCACCCCUGCCGCUGACUCCGGAAUCACAUCCUUUUGGCUUCAGUUCUUGCAGCCAACAAGAGCAGCCUCUGUUCCCCCAAGCCCCUAGAGGACCCUGCUUGGCCCAGCUCAUCCUUUUGAUAGAGGCCACCCAUGCCUGGGCUCUUGGCAGCUAAGUGGCUAUCCAGAGUUCCCCUCCCUCCAAUCAGCAGAGUGGGAGCAGCAGAGAUGGCUGUGUGGAGACUGUCCACACAGAGAAGGAAGACAUGGGGACAGAGAGAGGUCUUCUAAUCCCCCCUCACCUUGAGAAUUCCUCAAAGUGGACAGUGGGAGGAUUGGGUCUGGAGGUCAGCGGGACUGUCCAACUAGUAGAAAUUCGCAAUUCCUUCCAACUCCUUAGCCUUGUCUGCUUUUGUUUAAUCUGUGAAUUGCUGGGUCAGUUCCAAUAUGAUAAAGAGUCACAUUUGUUAAUCUUGGCAUCCUAACAACGAUUUUAAAAUCCGAACAAAGCGGAGGGAGCAGCCGUUUUAAAGUUGUAAGGCCAAGCAGGGAACGUCUGUAAGGCGAAGCAUGGAGCAGAGCCACUCUGGGCUGUGUGAAUCUUUCACCCAACCAUGGAGGAAGGUGGGGAAUCUUCCAUCCGUUUGAACAAGAAAAGGUAAGCAACUUGCACCAGCACGAGCUGCUCUUAUGCCCAGGCCCUGUCUGGAGCAUCCUGCCCCCACAGGCAGAAUGCACACAGCACAGGUGCUCUGGCCUUAUUUUCGUCAGGUCGAUAUGAAGCUAGAGUCCUUCCCACUCGACCACCUGGGUUGCAUGGAGUCCACAGGGACCAUGUAGCUCAGCGGUGGGUGCUAGCCUUAUCAGGAUUUCUUCUCACCUCUGGACAUCUGCGUAGCCCCGAGCACUGGCAGCAAACAUUCAGAGGUUCAUUUCAAACUCGGCCCCUCCUUGUCCACUCACUUUUGAAACAGCCCUGUGGGUUGGCUUUUGGUGUUCACCAUCCCUUCCUCACAGAUAUCGGUUCUGUUUCCUUGUGCCGUGGAUCUCAUCAGACCACAAAGCCAUCUCUGCUCAUUCUUUGGAGGGAUGCACGGAGGCCUUGCCAGAGCCUAGAGAGUGUGCGUGACCCCAGGACCACAACCAUCUGUGUUCUAAGAACAUUCCACCCGGCUGCCCUUUCUGCUUUCUUCAGAGUCAUCGUCAAGGUUCCCGUUUGGCCGUGGCCUCUCAAGAUGUCAACGUGUCAAGAGCGUUUUCUGUGCUGCUCCUUGUACUGUGUCAGCCUGGCCAUGUUUAGCACUCUCCUGACGUCUGUUCUCAGUGGAAGUGUCGAAUACGCAUUUGUUAAAAUGUUCUGUGUUGUAAGCUGAGAUCCAGCUCAGAGAAGACGAGGAGCAGGAAUUCAGGAGGAACUUUAUCCAGCAGCAAUGGCAGGGUUGACAUUGACGGCCUCUGGGUGUCAUGUUCUUCCAGUGUCACUGGCGGCUGCAUGUGCUGCUCCCAGCCGCUAUUUAGAGGGGGAAACCCUGCACCAGCUCUGCCACCCAAUGCCAAAGAAGUGGAGCCAUCCCCAGCAGGAGCCCCAAGGCUCCCUACAACUCCUUCUCCUCCCUUCCACCAGAGCUUCAAGAAUCACGGCCGCCACAGGUUGCUCAGACGGGAAAGCCAUGGCCAGCAUGAAGGCUUGCACACGAGAGUCCUCAGUACUCACAAAAGUCGGGUUGAGGUGGUGCAAGUCCACACCCAGCACCCAGGCCUGGGGAGGCAGAGACAGGCAGAUCUUUGUGGCAAGCCAGCUUCGCUGAAUUGAUGAGGUUCUUAAAAACUAAGGCAGUGGCGAUGGCUCAUGGGAAAGGCGAUUGUCUUCAUGUUUGAUGACCUGAGCUUAACACUACUUGAUGGAAGGAAAGAACCGCCUCCUGCAGGCCUCCACAUGUGUGCCAUGGUACACAAGUAGUAAAUGUAAUUAAAAAUACGCCCUCACGUGGGCCACGUCUCUAGACACAACAGCAAUGGAGGCAGCCGGCCACAAACUAAGACUGCUGAAACCGUAAGCCAAGAGUGACAAGAAGUUCGCUUCUGCAACCCACUGGGCUUUCUGACGUAGAGAUGAGAACGGCAACGACAGGACUGUGCGGGCCUCUUUAUUGUUCCUGGGUGUGGGACAUUACACACAGCGCGUGGCAGUCACUUAGCUGGUAAAAUAUCUCAAUAAAUAAACAAAUAAGCAACAUAUACACUGAACAGGGAAUAUAAAAGAAUGGCUAGCUGAGCAGGCCAUGAAGAAAUAAAGAGCAGGAGUGUGCCA